GUGCCAGACUCCUACGGGAGGCAGCAGUGAGGAAUAUUGGUCAAUGGGCGAGAGCCUGAACCAGCCAAGUCGCGUGAGGGAAGACGGUCCUAUGGAUUGUAAACCUCUUUUGCCGGGGAGCAAAAAGCGGUACGUGUACCGCAUCGAGAGUACCCGGAGAAAAAGCAUCGGCUAACUCCGUGCCAGCAGCCGCGGUAAUACGGAGGAUGCGAGCGUUAUCCGGAUUUAUUGGGUUUAAAGGGUGCGCAGGCGGCGAUUGAGGUCGGCGUUAAAUUGUCGGGCCACACCCCCGCCGAGCCGUUGAAACUGGCUUGCUAGAGUGGGCGAGAAGUAUGCGGAAUGCGUGGUGUAGCGGUGAAAUGCAUAGAUAUCACGCAGAACUCCGAUUGCGAAGGCAGCAUACCGGCGCCCAACUGACGCUGAAGCACGAAAGCGUGGGUAUCGAACAGGAUUAGAUACCCUUGUA
Molecule: ribosomal RNA, 466 nt
Filed under: uncultured bacterium
Lineage: Bacteria
Description: bacterial SSU rRNA
Rfam family: Bacterial small subunit ribosomal RNA
Source: RNAcentral